UUUUCAGAUUUUUAAAAUUCAAGCUGACCUGGGACAAGUCCUUGGAAAAUCGAUUCCAUUUAAGUUAGAAAUUCAUUUGGUACCCGGGUCGAAAGAUGAAAAAUGUAAUCUUCAAGAAAAGUUGUAUAUUAAUUCAUCAUUCCUGCAUAACAACAAGCAAUGAGCCGAGAUGGAGAAUGUUCCAGUCGACAAAAAAAAAUUGGUGAGUUUGAAAAUUCAAAUUUCUAUUAUUAACAUCUAAUUUUAAGUUAUUCUGUUUAGUCUACCAAUAGAUUUAGUAUUUAAAUUAGAUUUAAAAGCAAACUAGAUAUAUUGCCUUAUUUCGUGAUCGUUAUGAUCAUAAUGUUUUCCAUUAGAAACUAAACUAUUUUGCCAGGAAUAGUUUGUGUUGUGAGAAGUAAUUCACGUGUUUCUACCAGAAACGCUUGUUGGAUACUCGUCGCAGCUUUGCUCCCAGACAACUAAAAUUGCCAAAUUUUAGUCAGCGCUUAGAUGACUAAUAAUUCCUAACCCUGAGUGCAUGGUUCCAAAGGGUGCUAUGACGGAAUUGCAUCUAUGACUAGCUUCUGACGAUCACAACGUGGUCAUAAACGAAAAUUAAUAGACUUAGUCUAGUUGAGCACUCGGCGAACUACUCGUUAACGGGCAAAAUAUCACAACUGUUUAUUGUUCCACCACACAAAUGAACUUUCCAGGUCGUAGGUUUCCACUAAAAGAAAACUGUUAGAUAGAAUCAAGGCAAAAAUAUCAGUAACAAAAUGUUUUGUAUAGAAAAGUAUCUACUAACUCAUUUAUACAAAAUAAAGAAAAUAACAUAGGCUUUAUCAUUUUGGUUAGAGCUAGGAGUAGGUAUAAUCGUUGGGACUAGAACCACCAAAGAUGUUGAAACUAUUGCUUCAAAUCUUUGGCGUGAAAAACCCCCAACGAUUUCCCUUGAAGGUCUUCAACCUCAUAUAGGCUAUUACCAAUAGGUCUGACAAUUCGGCAUUUUAAAAAUUUCUUGGCUAGUUUAGCAAUAAAAUUAUUUUUGAUUUUGCUUUGCUGAAAGUUGCGGCGGUAAACCUCUUGACCUGGUACAAACUUGACUUGACGGCAACGAGUAUUGUAUGUCUUCUCGUUUUUUAAAUAUGCUUUAUGCAAAUUCUCACGAAUUUUCUGCCGUAUUAAAUCCAUUUUAACGGGUUUCGGCAAGACAAUAGAUUCAGGAUCAUGCAGAAUUUGUAGCUUCUUUGCAAGAUGGUAUACACUUCCAUGCGAAAUCAUGUUCAUGCCAAAAAGUGCGAAGUAUGGUGUAACUCCAAUCGACGUUUGUACUGACGACCUUAACGAAAAUUCUAUUUCUGACAGGUAUUUGUCCCACUCAGUAUGAUCUUGUAGAUAUGAACGAAUUGCGGAUAGAAUUAACUGGUUUACGCGCUCUGAGGCGUUUGCCUGUGGUGAGUGGGUAGCGGUUUUAACAUGCUUAACGCCAAAGUUAUCGACCAUGUCUUGGAACUCUUUACUAACGAACUGUUUCCGUUGUCUGACACAAUUACUUCCGGGGUACCAAAUUUGUGGAAUACUUCGGAUAUUAGGAAUCUUAUUACAUUUUUAGCAUUUGCCUUAGCCAUAGCUUUUAAUAGCACAAACUUCGUAAGGUGGUCCAGAACGAUGAAUAUGAAUGAAUUCCCGUUUUUGGACCGCGGAUACGGACCUAGAAAAUCAAUGAAGAUUUUCUGGAACGGGCGCUCCAUUUGAGAUUCCGCUCCCAUGGGUGGUCGUAAAGUUGAAUUGGCGGGUUUUGUCUCUCGACAGAUUUGGCAAUUGGCAACAAACGUCCGAACCUGUAUAUUUUGGUUUGGCCAGUAGAAGUAUUCUUUGACCCUUCGGAGCGUUUUUCCGAAACCUCCAUGUGCUGCUUGAGGUGGAUUAUGGCACUUGGCAAUUAUGUCUUGGGUUAAUUCGAACGGAAUCCAAAGUUUCCAAGCGAAGUCCUCGUUUAUCGGGACACCACGUAAGGCAAAACUCGUUUGUAGACCAAAUCGUCUACUACCUUCAAAUCUGGUAAACGUUCUGUAUUUUCCUGGAUUUUGGCGAUUAAUUCCAGGUAACUUUGUUCUUUAAAAUAUUUUGACUGCAAAUCUAUUAUAUUAUUUACUUCCGCAGAUAUUUCCUCCAUAUCAUAUCUCGAUAAGGUGUCGGGUACUAUGUUUUUGGAUCCGGGCCGAUGUUCAAUAGAAAACGAAAAGGCUUGGAGGUGUAAACUCCACCGAGCUAGUCUGCCACUGAGGUCUUUGUGGGACAUCAGCCAUUUGAGGCUACUGUGGUCAGUGAUGACAGUAAACGGCAACAGUUCAAUGUAAGGCCGGAAUUUCUUAAUGGCCAUUACUACGGCCAAGCACUCUCUCUUGGUGACCGAAUAGUUCUUCUGGGCACUGGUCAAUUUGUGAGAGAAGAAAGCUACUGGAUGUUCGCCGUCAUUUUCGUCCUUAUGGAACAGAACUGCUCCCAAACCUAUGUCCGAUGCGUCGCAUUGGACAUAAAAGUGUCUGUUGAAAUCAGGAUGCAUAAGCACUGGUGAUGUUGUGAGGGCGGACUUCAGCUUAUCGAAGGCUUCCUUAGCUUCGUCCGGAAAGUCGAAACCUUUUCCUUUCUUAAGGGUGUUAAAAAUAGGUGUUGAUAUGGUAGCGUAGUCGGGGAUGAAGCGCCUAUACCAACCCGUAGCUCCCAUGAAGCUUCGGACCUGCUUGGCGGUUUUUGGGUACUUCAACUCUUCGAAGCAAAAUUUCGACUUCCCUAGGUUGAUGGUCAGACCCGCCGAAUCCAGACAAUGCGCUACCCGAUCCAGCAACUCCAGGUGAGUCUCAAAGUCUGGAGAUACGAUCAAAAGAUCAUCUAGAUAGACGAAAACUCUAUCACGAAGUGCUGAAGGGAUCACUUUGUCCAUUAGACGACAUAACAUUUGGGCUGCGUUACACAACCCAAAAGGCAUGACCGUAAAAUGGUACAGUGGUCGCCCCGGCACCGUGAAUGCAGUCUUCUCCCUACUAGAUGCAUCUAAUGGUAUCUGCCAGAAUGCGUCUUUGAGAUCCACGCUGGAUAUGAAGAACGUAUCCCCUAACCGACUGAGCAGACCUUCGAUGUGCGGCAGCGGAUAGGCGUCCUUGACCGUGAGGGCAUUUAGCUUACGAGCGUCUAGACACAACCGGUUCUUCUCGCCCCUACGGACGAGAGUAACCGGAUGGCUCCAAGGACUCUCGCUCUACUCUAUGACCCCAGGAUCAAGCAUCCUAUCCAGCUCUGCAUACAUUAACUUCUGCACA
Calliphora vicina (urban bluebottle blowfly) is the source of this 3302-nucleotide long non-coding RNA. RefSeq lists it as uncharacterized. The record is from RefSeq and is a predicted model, not a curated record. Lineage: Eukaryota; Metazoa; Arthropoda; Insecta; Diptera; Calliphoridae. The transcript is spliced from 4 exons.